AGACAGGGUCUUGCUGUGUUGCUGAGCUGGUCUUGAACUCCUGGCCUCCCGCCUCAGUCUCCCAAAGUGCUGGGAUUACAGGGAAUGUGACUUCACUGGACGCAGUAUAAAGAUCUUCAGAUGUCCUCCUGCCGGGGAUUGCAGGGAUCACAGAAAGACCAUCGAGGUCCAGGAGCUACCUGCAAGCGGAGAUCCCUCUGGACGCCCCGUGCCUCACCCAGCAAAGCCGGCUCACAACCCUGCGCUCUCAAACCUCUAAAAGGGCUUGAGGUGCCAAUAGGAAAGGAGGCCCGAGAUUGCCACGGCAUACGUGGGCCCCAAGGAGGGAGCCAGGAGUCACUGCCUGCUUGGGCUAAGGGUACCGCGUACGGAAAGGCGGCGGGGACGCGGCCCAGUUCCAGGAGAUGCGCCCAACGAAGAAGCGGAGGAACAGGGUCACGGGAUAGGGCAGACACCCGGCUGCUUUUUGUUUGCUAGACACCAGCGCCAGCCCCUGCCCGGCCCUCCCGGUCUCCUAAGGGUUGGGGGGGUGUCUUAGGCUCCACAGCGCCCCCGACCGCCCUCCUGCACUCCUCACCGUCUCCAUUGCAAGAGGCGCCCGGCUUGGUUUCCUCGCUUUAGGAAACUCUCUUGGGGCAGGCCCCGCCCCACAUCCGGUGCGGCGACGCCACUUCCGCCCACGUCAUGGCAGUCGCCAGACUGGGGCGGAAGGCAAGGAACCCACCCUUCCGGCGGUGGCGGGCCUCGGUAACCGCCCUCCCCCGGGUCCUCGCGGACCGCACGGAUCCGGCUGACGGCGAGGGUCAUGGGACGGAGCCGCUUGUAUUUAAAAUGUUCUUUUUUUAUUUGUCGUUUAAAAACAAACUUGGAAGAAGCAAAAUCCAAAACUUGCCCUUUGCCUCUCGCAACAUAAAUAUGUACAGUUCAGAAUGAUCGCUGAUACAAAACAUGCCAAGGACAGGGGCGCUGAGGGUGGAGGGAGAGAGGGCGCUUUAAAAAAGGGAACCAUUUCAUCCGUUGUUACGAAGGACCAACCUUGCUGUACAGGAUACACACAACACAAAAUAAAGUCUUCACGGGAUUCAC
Molecule: long non-coding RNA, 1086 nt
Filed under: Homo sapiens (human)
Lineage: Eukaryota; Metazoa; Chordata; Mammalia; Primates; Hominidae
Description: HSALNT0368013
Source: RNAcentral